This 479-nucleotide ribosomal RNA is filed under the name uncultured bacterium. RNAcentral describes it as "partial 16S ribosomal RNA". It matches the Rfam family "Bacterial small subunit ribosomal RNA", at positions 28 to 507 of the family's 1533-position model. The record is from RNAcentral.
GAUGAACGCUAGCGGGAGGCCUAACACAUGCAAGCCGAGCGGUAGAGUUUCUUCGGAAACUUGAGAGCGGCGCACGGGUGCGUAACACGUGUGCAACCUACCUUUAUCUGGGGGAUAGCCUUUCGAAAGGAAGAUUAAUACCCCAUAAUAUAAUGAUUGGCAUCAAUUAUUAUUGAAAACUCCGGUGGAUAGAGAUGGGCACGCGCAAGAUUAGAUAGUUGGUGAGGUAACGGCUCACCAAGUCAAUGAUCUUUAGGGGUCCUGAGAGGGAGAUCCCCCACACUGGUACUGAGACACGGACCAGACUCCUACGGGAGGCAGCAGUGAGGAAUGUUGGACAAUGGGUGAGAGCCUGAUCCAGCCAUCCCGCGUGAAGGAUGACGGUCCUAUGGAUUGUAAACUUCUUUUGUACAGGGAUAAACCUACCCUCGUGAGGGUAGCUGAAGGUACUGUACGAAUAAGCACCGGCUAACUCCGUG